Molecule: long non-coding RNA, 241 nt
Filed under: Homo sapiens (human)
Lineage: Eukaryota; Metazoa; Chordata; Mammalia; Primates; Hominidae
Description: HSALNT0230516
Source: RNAcentral
CUGUGACCAGAGAGGACAGAUGUGCUGCCAGCUUCUUAGCCUGCUGGGUUGCAGGGGUCCAAAUGUAGCUGCAUUUAGGAGGAGGAGAAGGAGGACGUGCUUUGCUCUUCAAGAAUGUCCACACCUGUUUCCUCAUUCAGCCUCUCAGCAACUCUGUGGAGUUGUCAGGACUCACCCCAUUUCACAGAAGAAGGCACCAGGCUGGGAGAUGCAGGGCUGGUGGUACCUACUAAUCCAGGGG